This 709-nucleotide ribosomal RNA is filed under the name uncultured bacterium. RNAcentral describes it as "bacterial SSU rRNA". It matches the Rfam family "Bacterial small subunit ribosomal RNA", at positions 104 to 811 of the family's 1533-position model. The record is from RNAcentral.
GGGUGAGUAACACGUAUGCAACCUGCCCCUGUCAGGGGGACAACCCGCCGAAAGGCGGGCUAAACCCGCGUACAUGCCACCGGGGCAUCCCGGAGGCAGGAAAGGCUUCGGCCGGACAGGGAUGGGCAUGCGGCGCAUUAGGCAGUAGGCGGGGUAACGGCCCACCUAACCGACGAUGCGUAGGGGUUCUGAGAGGAAGGUCCCCCACACUGGUACUGAGACACGGACCAGACUCCUACGGGAGGCAGCAGUGAGGAAUAUUGGUCAAUGGUCGGGAGACUGAACCAGCCAAGCCGCGUGAGGGAGGAAGGUACAGAGUAUCGUAAACCUCUUUUGUCAGGGAACAAAGACUGGGACGCGUCCCCGGAUGAGUGUACCUGAAGAAAAAGCAUCGGCUAACUCCGUGCCAGCAGCCGCGGUAAUACGGAGGAUGCGAGCGUUAUCCGGAUUUAUUGGGUUUAAAGGGUGCGCAGGCGGUCUGUUAAGUCAGCGGUCAAAGCCCGGGGCUCAACCCCGGCCCGCCGUUGAAACUGGCAGUCUCGAGUUGGAGAGAAGUAUGCGGAAUGCGCGGUGUAGCGGUGAAAUGCAUAGAUAUCGCGCAGAACUCCGAUUGCGAAGGCAGCAUGCCGGCUCCACACUGACGCUGAGGCACGAAAGCGUGGGUAUCGAACAGGAUUAGAUACCCUGGUAGUCCACGCAGUAAACGAUG